RNAcentral lists this ribosomal RNA (253 nucleotides) under uncultured bacterium. RNAcentral's name for it is "partial 16S ribosomal RNA". It matches the Rfam family "Bacterial small subunit ribosomal RNA", at positions 524 to 776 of the family's 1533-position model. The record is from RNAcentral.
UACGAAGGGGGCUAGCGUUGCUCGGAAUGACUGGGCGUAAAGCGCACGUAGGCGGCUUUCUAAGUCAGGGGUGAAAUCCCGGAGCUCAACUCCGGAACUGCCUUUGAUACUGGAGAGCUCGAGUCCGGGAGAGGUGAGUGGAACUGCGAGUGUAGAGGUGAAAUUCGUAGAUAUUCGCAAGAACACCAGUGGCGAAGGCGGCUCACUGGCCCGGUACUGACGCUGAGGAGCGAAAGCGUGGGUAGCGAACAGG